GAAGUUGAAUUGGGCUGUCCUGGCCCAGUACGAUGGUCUGCAUGGCCCGCUGAAGACUGGUCGGCAGGGUAGUGGGUACUCUUGAAGCUCACCUCAAAAUUUGAAAACCAUCUCCCUCCAAUUUCUCUUUCUAAAACUCUCUUUAACGAGCGCUCUUUCUCUCUCUCUCUCUCGGAUACUGUCUGCAACAGCAAUGGAAGGUCCACUCCUGAAACUGAUAAUUGAGAAAGGCCCCAGAGGUGGAGAAACCCUAGAAUUCAAACCCGGAUCCUCGAUACGGAUCGGGAGGGUGGUCCGUGGUAACAACCUUCCGAUCAAAGACUACGGCAUUUCCUCUAAGCACCUCUCUAUUCAAUUCGAAUCCGGUAAGUGGGUAGUCCGAGACCUUGACUCCUCCAACGGCACCAUACUCAACAACGCCCAGCUCUCACCCGAUGAUCCCGCUGAUCUCCGCGACUUCGACUCUAUCAAGAUCGGCGAGUUCACCUCCAUCACCGUCAGGAUCGUCCAAUGCGAUGAAAGUCGAUUGCGCCGGAACCCUAGGCGGGGAGGGGCUGGAAAAGAGGGGGAGUUGGAUUCUGUGGGCUCGGUUGCAGAGAAUCGGGGCCGGAAGGGGGUUUCCAAGACGGUUAGGGUUGUGAAGGAAGAGGAGAAUGAAGCUGAUUUGGCUUCAGUUAGUGAAGUAGGGUUCGGUAAGGAAUUGGAUAAUAAUUUGGGGGUUGUGGCGGAGAAUCGGGGUGGGCGAGGUCGACCAAAGAGGGCUAAGGUUUUGAAGAAUGAGGCAGUGGAGGAGUCUGGUGAAGUUCAGGGACGUGAAAGGAGUUUGAGUUUGGGUAUAGAAUCAGAGAAUGUUGGUCAGGUUGGAGUCGAACCCGUGAGGCAAAUGGGUUCAAGGAGGACUCGGGCGUCGAAGAAGGAAGAUAAAUUGGUUUCUAGUUUGAUGCUUCAAAAAAUUCCGGAAAUUUCUAAGUUGGAUUGUGUAGAAAUUGGGAUUGAGGAGAAAAAGACAAGGGUGGGUUUGAGAAGGAAGAGGAACACUCAGGAUGAGCCAAUGGAGACUGUUGCAAUUGAUGGUACCACAGAUCAGGAGGUAGUCAAGGGGUCUAACUGUGGAGAAAAGAUUUGUACAGCAUCGACCAGUAUGUCAGGUGCUAAAGAGUGGCCCACUGAGGUAGGAGAUGGACCUGAUUUGGAGAAGAUGACACUUGGGGAUUGGUUCGAUUAUUUGGAGCUUCAUUUACCAAAGCAAAUAUAUGAUGUGACAGAAGAGAUGAUUGCAGGUAUGAGGGAGAGGGGGGAGCGGGUUCGGGAGUAUAUGUUACAACAGAAGAAUGAGAAGGGUAAACUAUCUGUUUGCUAGAGGGAGGAUCCUGCACUUUGAUUGUUAGGAGGCAAACAAGAAGAGAAGCUGCUAACUACUUUCUUGUUCAUUCUGAAGUGAAGGAGACAUUGUUGAGUUGUUAAGGAAAUUUCAAGGAUAAGUGCAACUGGAAAGUGUGGAAGGUGGCCUCUUUGAGUAUCUUUGUGGAGCUUAUUUAAAAGGUGGAAUUGAAGGACUUUUUUAUGAUAGAGUGACCAGGCCUAUGCCCUAAAGGAAGGCUUUCAGGCUUCAUGUUAUCAUUUGAUUUGUAGGGAUAAUUUUAUCAAGGGAAAGAUGCAGAAGGGUAGACAUGUGAGAGAAAGUGAGGUCAAUGCUGGGAAUAUGAUAAGAGCAAUGAAACCCAAAGGAUCACUUCUGGGUAGAUUUGGAGAUCAAUCACUAAGAAGUUGAUAUGAUUUCCCUUUUUAGUUUCAUUUCAUAUGAGAUUCAGAAGUUAUCUUGUUACUUUUAGUGGCAAAAAUCUUCUUACCUCAGCUGAAUUCCUUUGUUAAAAGAAAAAUGAUGGAGGCAUAAUUACAGGAAGCCAGCUAUCUUUCCAUAAUUACAACAAUAAAUAUACGGUACUCUGCUUCUCAUUGUGAUCCUGUAAGACUGGGUUUUUUCAUCAACGUCUGCUGGUGGCAUAUGCAUAGAAGUACAAGCCAUUACUCAGGGCAGAUAGACCUCAAGUUAAGCAUUUUUUACUUAAGAUGGGUGUAUGGAGACUCGAUCCUGUUUCCAUUUUUGACAAUGUGAGAAGUAACCGGAGUGCUUCAUCUGUUCACAUCUUGUGUGGAAUCCCAAGGAGUUGAUAGUAUGAUAGUUGUAUCAGAUGAGUGGAAAGCCAAUCCGGAAGAUAUAUGGUUUCAGUCACUAGAAUUGAGGACCACAUUACGAUUAGAACUUGAGUGGAGAGCACAUUAACCGCAAAUGAGACGUGGUGUUAUGAUGAUAUAGAGCAAUCGAUUCAUACUUAGAGCCCUUGGUGGAGACUGGAGUAUUGUGGGUGAUUCAUUCGAUUAUUAAUGUAAAUGCUUGUUUUA
RNA transcript from Vitis vinifera (wine grape), 2403 nucleotides. It is a transcript of the gene named FHA domain-containing protein At4g14490, with no coding region annotated. The transcript is spliced from 4 exons. The record is from RefSeq and is a predicted model, not a curated record. Lineage: Eukaryota; Viridiplantae; Streptophyta; Magnoliopsida; Vitales; Vitaceae.